This 2307-nucleotide long non-coding RNA is filed under the name Carassius auratus (goldfish). RNAcentral describes it as "lncRNA (ENSCARG00000027557.1)". Lineage: Eukaryota; Metazoa; Chordata; Actinopteri; Cypriniformes; Cyprinidae. The record is from RNAcentral.
ACAUGUUAAAUAUGUAAAGAAACUGAAAUUAAGUUGGUUGUUACUACUAUUUAAGUUAUUUAAUUGGGUUUGCAACCAAAGAAGACUGUUUUCGCACAAUUCUUCCUUAAUACAGAUAAAGGAGGCAGAAUUUCAUUCAAUCUUUGUGUAUUUUAUUUACAGACAUGGCUAAAACAAUACAUGUGAGAAGAGCCAUUACAAAAUCUUUUGUAAAAAAAAAAACAAAAAAACAUUUAUAUAUUAGAUGUGAGCAUGGUGUAUAAUUCUAACAUGACGCCUUCACAACAAUACUUGGACACAUAUUGGUCAAAGCACAGCACACAACCACAAUUUUAUCCAGCAAAGUCUUCAUCUCAGUCUCAUGACCGGUGUUCUGUCGAUUUGUCCUACGGUAGCGCAAAAUUUGAGAUAUAUCCUACCUCAUUGAAAAAUCCUACUGCUUCGCUCCUGUGACUAUACGUAAAGUAACUUUAUCGAAGAUUCUUAUUAGGCAAUGGUAUAUGUUAUUUACAGUGCCAAGAACAUCAUCAGAUUGUCCUACCACUAUAAAAUAAACAUGUAGGAUGAUUGUACAGUGAAACAAUUCUUAUUAAAAUAAAAACGUUGGAUGAUUUUACAGUGCAAAAUACCUUAUUAACCACCAUUUUUUUUCAACCACUUACCAAUCGUUUGUUGGACUACUGGAGUCCAUGCUUUGUCUGCUACUACCAACCUACUUACCUGCCUGCUGCCCGCCUUGCUCUGCUUACCUGCCCUGUUUAUCUAUCGGCUGGAAUCCCGUCUCAUCCACCUCAAAACAGAGCCUCGGCCUGCAGAGCGACCUGGUGUUCUCUGAGAUCGCACGCAGGAUCAGAGACGGCGGUCAGGAGCUGGUGAAGAAGGUCAACGCUGUGUUCGGAUGGAGAUCAGCAAAGAUGGCAGAACCAUCCGAGACUGGAGUGAGCCAGACACUGCAGAUUAUCAUUCAUUCUCUUAACACAAGCAAAGAUAUCUGCCAAAGGGGCGAGGAAUAUAAUUAACUAUUAAGAGAAUAUAUUUUUCUUACCACAUUUGCUGAUAUUUUUGCAACAAAAUAGUUUUUUUCUGUCCUAUCACACAGUCACGUGUGUUUGAUGCACAUUUAAGUGUUUCUAUCGUCGUUUAUGUGCAUGUUUUCUUACCAGAUAAGAAAUGUAUCCUACUUUGUUGAAUGCAUACGUUUUUUUAUGGACAUUUUUAAAAUUGUAUUAGUUUCCAUCAGGUGUUCAUGUAUUUUUAUCUGAUUUCCCAAAAUGUGCAUAAAAAUUGGUGGAUGGAAACAUAGUAAGACUGCAAACAAUUCUCUUACUCAGUGUUUGUGUCUUGUGUUCUAGUAUAAAUAUCUGAAUAUUCUUGAAUCAAGAUGCAUUUACUGAACAAGUAACAUCAUUUUACAUGAUAGAAUCAAAUGUUUUGCGAAUUCGCUCCGAAUCCCAGAUCUCAAGUCACUUCCUGUUUGUUGUUGGCAUCUGUACUGCGUUUGAGCUCCGUCACUAUAUUCUUUUCAUCGACUAUUUUUAAUAAAAAAAAUUUUCCCCCUCCGCGAGACAGGACGCAACGCUGUGAUCAUCGGAGACUCCAUCGUCUGACACAUCCGUGCUACGUUUGUGCACACUCAUUGUUUGCCUGGUGCUCGUGUUCUCGAUGUUUCUGCGCAGAUACCCGCGAUCCUGAAGGACGGCGAGAGCCCCAGAGCGGUCGUGCUUCACGCCGGGGUUAACGACACCACGCUGCGGCAGACGGAGACGCUGAAGAGGGACUUCAGGAGCCUGAUCGAGACGGUUCACAGCACGACGCCUGCGGCGAAGAUCAUCGUGUCAGGACCACUGCCCACGCAUCGACAAGGACACGAAAGGUUCAGUAGACUUUUUGCUUUAAAUGAAUGGUUGUUGUCAUGGUGUAAAGAACAGAAACGGCUAUUUGUUAAUAACUGGAAUCUUUUCUGGGAGCGUCCUAGACUGUUUCGCGCUGAUGGAUUACACCCCAGCAGAGUCGGAGCGGAGCUGCUCUCUGACAACAUCUCCAGGACACUUCGCUCCAUGUGACUAGUAAGACAAUUCUCAGAUAACUAUUAUGAUGACUUUUGUUCCACCCGCUUAAAUGAUAAAAGUACUUGCGCUGUAAAAACUAUUAAGACUGUGUCUGUUCCCCGAAUAGUGAGGUCAAAAUAUACAUUUAAUGUAAGAUCUAGAAAAAAUCUUAUCACAAUUAAACCAGAAAAAUGUAAAGUAAAUGAACAAAAACAAUUUUUAAAGUUUGGGCUCAUAAAUAUUAGAUCACUCACACCCA